This 1616-nucleotide long non-coding RNA is filed under the name Pomacea canaliculata. Its description in RNAcentral is "uncharacterized LOC112566398". The record is from RNAcentral. Lineage: Eukaryota; Metazoa; Mollusca; Gastropoda; Architaenioglossa; Ampullariidae.
UGUCCCGCGACGAGAGAUUCGAAUGGGAGAACACUCGUAUUUUAUAUCACUUAUUUCCCUUUACACAAAUUCAGGAGGUCACGGGCUGAUGGCUCUCAAAUUCCUUUGCGCGUCAUGACGUGAUGCAAUUCAUAAAAGGCGUCACAUGGUCACAUGCUGUCCUGAAUCGAAAUGAGAACAAGAAAAAAGGCAAAACGACGCCCCACGGCCCAGCAGCGAGAAGGUGGGAGGAGGGUGGAGGUCCCCCGUCGUGUAGCCGCAGUCAGGGGUCCAGGACGUCCUGCCCGUCAAGCCCGUCAAGCACGUCAAGCACGCGCAAUGGGUCAUCUAGCCAUCGUGCCUAAUCAACAACACUAUGUAGACGACCGAAGAGAGGGAAUGGCUAGGAAUGUUCGGCAUAAGGUUGACAAUGUACCCUUAAUAUUCACUUUGAGUAGCAUUAUUAUUAGCAUAUUAUUACCAGUCUCUUUGGUGUUGUCAGUGCGUCCGGAGCGGACGGUUUUUGUUUGUGACCAGUCUUGACGGACUGGGUGUUGUUGUGUAGACCUGAGUACAAGUCCUGACCAGACUUGGAUUGUGUGUACAAGUCCUGAACCGACUUGAAGUUACAUACUUGUUUGUACUUUUGUUAGCAUUGAACCUGUUGAGGUGAGUGUGAAUCUGUUGAUUUUUCAGUGAAUGUGUAUUUCUGUAUUGGAUGAGUGUGAUAUAUUUAUGUAUAUUUUAUGAAUAUGUUUGAAUUUACAUUUAUCUAAAGAAUGAUUUUGUUUUGCUCUCCAGGUUUUCUUGUGAGGUUUUCUUGUGAGGUUUCACUCUGGAUUUACUUUUGGAUUUACUUGUGGAUUUUCUUGUGGAUUUUCUUUGGGAUAUAACUUCAAGAAGAAGUGGAAACUUUAUGUACUUUUCAUGUGGAUAUAUGGUGUAUCUUAGAAGCGGAAACAUUGUGCUGUUUCAAGUGAGACUUUGAGAGGAGCUGUGCAAGAAGAUAUUGAAUACUUUUGAAACUUCAGUUGGAAGAAACUUGUGUUUGAACUGUGGGGUUGGGGAAUUAGGAAUUGUUUUGUGUUGUGUUUCUCAUUUUGAUUUUUAAAUUAUAUUAUAUUUCUAAAGUUUAAAUUGUUGUCUGUGUUUUGAUUUUAUUAAUUGUCUCGUCUGAAAGGCACUGUAGAGUGCAGGUGACAGUCGGCAUUAGGUUCACAAUGUACCCUGAAGAAGAUUUAUGCACAUAAGUCUACAAUGUGAUUGCUAUUGACAGCAGCUGCUUUACACUAUUUCAUUGCAACCACUACAAGCAGACCUGUUGUUUGAUUUUAUAAUAAACAACUGCUAUAGGCUGUAACUGCUGCUGUUUGGUUAUUGUAACGUUUUACGAAAGAGUGUGUUGAAUGUUGUCACAAUAUUUUGUUAAAAUAUUUUUUUUAUUUUAGUUAGGAAGGGGAUAGGGAGAAGUAAUUGGAAAGGGAAGGUGGUAAAACACCUAUUAGUGGGCUGUUAGUGUCAACAGCCUGAGGCGUGCCGCGCCAUACAGGGAUGGCCGGCCGGUCUUUGUCUUAAUUAAGUUCUGUUGAUAGGUUGUUUGUUGAUUAGUUCGAACAAAGGAAAGAGUGUGGUAGUGU